RNAcentral lists this ribosomal RNA (279 nucleotides) under Bacillus pumilus. Its description in RNAcentral is "partial 16S ribosomal RNA". It matches the Rfam family "Bacterial small subunit ribosomal RNA", at positions 1201 to 1480 of the family's 1533-position model. Lineage: Bacteria; Bacillati; Bacillota; Bacilli; Caryophanales; Bacillaceae. The record is from RNAcentral.
CUUAUGACCUGGGCUACACACGUGUACAAUGGACAGAACAAAGGGUGCAAGACCGCAAGGUUUAGCCAAUCCCAUAAAUCUGUUCUCAGUUCGGAUCGCAGUCUGCAACUCGACUGCGUGAAGCUGGAAUCGCUAGUAAUCGCGGAUCAGCAUGCCGCGGUGAAUACGUUCCCGGGCCUUGUACACACCGCCCGUCACACCACGAGAGUUUGCAACACCCGAAGUCGGUGAGGUAACUUUUAUGGAGCCAGCCGCCGAAGGUGGGGCAGAUGAUUGGGG